GAUGAACGCUGGCGGCGUGCCUAAUACAUGCAAGUCGAGCGAACAGAUGAGGAGCUUGCUCCUCUGACGUUAGCGGCGGACGGGUGAGUAACACGUGGAUAACCUACCUAUCAGACUGGGAUAACUUCGGGAAACCGGAGCUAAUACCGGAUAAUAUAUUGAACCGCAUGGUUCAAUAGUGAAAGACGGUUUUGCUGUCACUUAUAGAUGGAUCCGCGCCGCAUUAGCUAGUUGGUAAGGUAACGGCUUACCAAGGCAACGAUGCGUAGCCGACCUGAGAGAGUGAUAGGCCACACUGGAGCGGGGACACGGUCCAUACUCCUACGGGAGGCAGCAGUAGGGAAUCUUCCGCAAUAGGCGGAAGCCUGACGGAGCAACGCCGCGUGAGUGAUGAAGGUCUUCGGAUCGUAAAGCUCUGUUAUUAGGGAAGAACAAAUGUGUAAGUAACUAUGCACGUCUUGACGGUACCUAAUCAGAAAGCCACGGCUAACUACGUG
Molecule: ribosomal RNA, 497 nt
Filed under: uncultured bacterium
Lineage: Bacteria
Description: partial 16S ribosomal RNA
Rfam family: Bacterial small subunit ribosomal RNA
Source: RNAcentral